UACGUAGGGUCCGAGCGUUGUCCGGAAUUAUUGGGCGUAAAGGGCUCGUAGGCGGUUUGUCACGUCGGGAGUGAAAACUCAGGGCUCAACCCUGAGCGUGCUUCCGAUACGGGCAGACUAGAGGUAUGCAGGGGAGAACGGAAUCCCUGGUGUAGCGGUGGAAUGCGCAGAUAUCAGGAGGAACACCGGUGGCGAAGGCGGUUCUCUGGGCAUGACCUGACGCUGAGGCGCGACAGCGUGGGGAGCAAACAGG
This 253-nucleotide ribosomal RNA is filed under the name uncultured bacterium. RNAcentral's name for it is "partial 16S ribosomal RNA". It matches the Rfam family "Bacterial small subunit ribosomal RNA", at positions 524 to 776 of the family's 1533-position model. The record is from RNAcentral.